This 316-nucleotide ribosomal RNA is filed under the name uncultured eukaryote. RNAcentral describes it as "partial 18S ribosomal RNA". It matches the Rfam family "Eukaryotic small subunit ribosomal RNA", at positions 1470 to 1796 of the family's 1831-position model. The record is from RNAcentral.
CCCUUAGAUGUUCUGGGCUGCACGCGCGCUACACUGAAGCGUUCAACGAGUAUUCACCUUGCCCGAGAGGCCUGGGCAACCUUUGAACGCCAGUCGUGCUGGGGAUAGAUUCUUGCAAUUAUUAAUCUUCAACGAGGAAUUCCUAGUAAACGCAAGUCAUCAGCUUGCAUUGAUUACGUCCCUGCCCUUUGUACACACCGCCCGUCGCACCUACCGAUUGAAUGGUCCGGUGAAAUCCUCGGAUCGAGCCGUGGGGCAACUCCGGUUCGAGAAGUUGAUUAAACCUUACCAUUUAGAGGAAGGUGAAGUCGUANCA